UACGUGGGGUGCAAGCGUUGUUCGGAAUUACUGGGCGUAAAGCGCGUGUAGGCGGCCAUUUAUGUCAGGUGUGAAAGCCCUCGGCCUAACCGAGGAAGUGCGCCUGAAACUGGAUGGCUUGAGUACGAGAGAGGAGGACGGAAUUCCCAGUGUAGAGGUGAAAUUCGUAGAUAUUGGGAGGAACACCGGUGGCGAAAGCGGUUCUCUGGAUCGAUACUGACGCUGAUACGCGAAAGCGUGGGGAGCAAACAGG
Molecule: ribosomal RNA, 253 nt
Filed under: uncultured bacterium
Lineage: Bacteria
Description: partial 16S ribosomal RNA
Rfam family: Bacterial small subunit ribosomal RNA
Source: RNAcentral